RNAcentral lists this ribosomal RNA (487 nucleotides) under uncultured bacterium. RNAcentral's name for it is "bacterial SSU rRNA". It matches the Rfam family "Bacterial small subunit ribosomal RNA", at positions 31 to 507 of the family's 1533-position model. The record is from RNAcentral.
GAACGCUAGCUACAGGCUUAACACAUGCAAGUCGAGGGGCAGCAUGGACAUAGCUUGCUAUGUUGAUGGCGACCGGCGCACGGGUGCGUAACACGUAUCCAAUCUGCCCGUUACUCGGGGAUAGCCUUCUGAAAAGGAAGAUUAAUACCCGAUGGCAUGUAUUUCCGGCAUCGGAGAUACAUUAAAGAUUUAUCGGUAACGGAUGAGGAUGCGUACGAUUAGCUAGUUGGCGGGGUAACGGCCCACCAAGGCAACGAUCGUUAGGGGUUCUGAGAGGAAGGUCCCCCACACUGGAACUGAGACACGGUCCAGACUCCUACGGGAGGCAGCAGUGAGGAAUAUUGGUCAAUGGGCGAGAGCCUGAACCAGCCAAGUAGCGUGAAGGAUGACUGCCCUACGGGUUGUAAACUUCUUUUGUUUGGGAAUAAAAGACGCUACGUGUAGCGUUCUGCAUGUACCUUACGAAUAAGCAUCGGCUAAUUCCGUG